AGACCCAGCCAGGCCCCACCUGUUCCAGGCUGCGCCUCCAAGGCCCCAUUGACCCAUCCCCCCGCUAGUCCCCCCAGGGAUCUGUUGCUGCCCCCGCGACACUGAGCACUUCCCACCGUCAGCAUCACCUUCUCUACUGGUCUGUAAGGUUACUGUCCUUUGCGUCCUUACCACCAGUUCUCCUGACACAGAAAAAGUGCUCAGACGUAUCUGCUGAAUGAACCAGAAAAGCCACAAUAUCUUGGCUCAGCCUUAGCGAGAGUCAAGGUACCAGAUGGAAGCUGGUCCAUGCAGACCCUCAGUGCUGUAAGGGCCCUAUGGCAGCCAGGCCUGCCAUGAGCCGCCAUCCUGGAGUUCAGACCUUCUCCCGCCCCCUCCUGGAGUGCCUCAGCGCUGGCCUGCAUGACCAACAGAAUAAGAUGGAGCUGAAAGCUCGUGACUCUGAAGCCCCUCUGCUGUGCUCGGUCCUGGAGGGAGCCAGACAUCAGGCUGUAAGGACACUCACGCUGCACCAGCCCACAGAGCCAGACACCAGCAUUGUCCGGGGAGCAAUAAUGGCUGUGUUUCCAGCAUCCCUGCCCACUGGCCCUGACAGAUACCGCAGUGGUUCCUGCCAGGAAAUUCCCUGCCACGUGAAAACCCAGAGGAGGAAGCGGAGCCCCAUGGACCUCUCAGGCUCCACCCAGAGUUGCAGGAGUAAAACAAGCCCAUCAUCUCGGGCCCGGGCAUCCACAGGGACCUGGGAGCCUGUGACAAGACACACACCCCCCCCGGCCUCAGGCGGCCGCCUCUGUGCUUACUCUACCAUGUCUGAGGUGGUUUGGGCCCUGUGUACCACUUGAUAGAGCCCUCAGGGGAAAAGUAUUGCCACCUCCAUUUUGCAAACAAGAAAACCAGGGCCAAGAUCUAACUCGAGCCUUCUCCAAGACCAGGCGGACUCAGGACAACUGGCCCAUCGUCCUUACAGGCAGCAGGCAGAGCGAGUGAGGCUCAGGGCUGGACAGCACUCUACCCAGAAAUAUGUUGAAGGGAGGGAAGGAUGGGAAGAUGAAGUCAGAAAGGAAUCUGAGCUUCAGCAAAAGCCCGGCUCUCCCGGGGAGAACUGGCUCCUGUUUGCAUACUUGGGGCAGCUCCGUCUCCUCCUGCGGCUCCUGUGACCACCCCCUCCCAUCCUCAGACCCGGCUCAAGGAAACACUGUGGAAGGAAUGAAUGAGCAGCACCUGGGAGCAUGAAGCAGAGGGCAAAGCCAGGGACCCCAGAACAUCAAGGA
This is a long non-coding RNA of Bos taurus (domestic cattle), 1271 nucleotides long. The record is from Ensembl. Lineage: Eukaryota; Metazoa; Chordata; Mammalia; Artiodactyla; Bovidae.